GACGAACGCUGGCGGCGUGCCUAAUACAUGCAAGUAGAACGCUGAAGGAGGAGCUUGCUUCUCUGGAUGAGUUGCGAACGGGUGAGUAACGCGUAGGUAACCUGCCUGGUAGCGGGGGAUAACUAUUGGAAACGAUAGCUAAUACCGCAUAAUAGUAGAUGUUGCAUGACAUUUGCUUAAAAGGUGCAAUUGCAUCACUACCAGAUGGACCUGCGUUGUAUUAGCUAGUUGGUGGGGUAACGGCUCACCAAGGCGACGAUACAUAGCCGACCUGAGAGGGUGAUCGGCCACACUGGGACUGAGACACGGCCCAGACUCCUACGGGAGGCAGCAGUAGGGAAUCUUCGGCAAUGGACGGAAGCCUGACCGAGCAACGCCGCGUGAGUGAAGAAGGUUUUCGGAUCGUAAAGCUCUGUUGUAAGAGAAGAACGAGUGUGAGAGUGGAAAGUUCACACUGUGACGGUAUCUUACCAGAAAGGGACGGCUAACUACGUG
RNAcentral lists this ribosomal RNA (495 nucleotides) under uncultured bacterium. Its description in RNAcentral is "partial 16S ribosomal RNA". It matches the Rfam family "Bacterial small subunit ribosomal RNA", at positions 28 to 507 of the family's 1533-position model. The record is from RNAcentral.